GAAGCAGCCUUGAUGGGAUCUCCUUCCCACAUGCUUCUGUCUGGGUAUUCGACGACAUCGCUUUCCAUCAUGCAAAAGCGGCCAAGGAGUACGCAGUUGAGCAUGGCGUUGAGCUGCGCCUCGCGCCAGCCUAUGCACUCUGAUUCAGUCCAGUUGAAGACGACGUUUCUGUUUUCCAGUGCCAUUUUAGUGCUCAAGGGUACGUAAGCGGGUCGUUCGCAUUCGUCACACUGGCCUGCGAAAAAUCUCUCGAAAACUUAAUCAUCACUUGACUGCUGUUUUCUAGUUUCUCUGCUCGUGCGCUCUAGGGAGCGCAAAGACGGUCUUCGGCCCGUGUGCGUUCUCGCGACGGAGGAGGCGACGAAAAGGUACUCCAGAGACAAUAAACGUACGGAUCGAAAAGCUGGGUUCCAGCCCCGCCGUGCAACCAGGGCUUCUGAACACCACGGGGAAACAAACGGAUAUAGAGUAUGGAGGCCACACGGAUGCCACUCUGCCAAGUGCAAGGAUACGAAGAAGAAAGAGCUGGCCACAGCGACCAAGGAUGAAACAUGCGAAUAUCAUCAUGCUGAGAACCAGCGGAUCUCGUUCAAGAUCUUGUCGUUUACAGAGAGGAUGUGGAAAUAUUUGUGACUGGGAGGAGGGCGGAGAUCCACAGCAUAUCCAUCUUCAGAUCAUUUGUGAAACCUGGGCCUGAGUCGCGCCACGAGACAAAUUCUCAACAGGUCCAUGUAGAUGAGGGGAAUCAACAUCAGAGUGGGCGUUGAUCUCGGGUUGAUGAACAUUAUGGCCGUCAGCGUAAUUCCCAUUCAAGACGACGAAUCCAAAGAGCUGAAUGAAGAGCGAAUGAGGCUGCUCGAAUCUGGCAGGGCUUGCAACGCCCGAGGCUCGGCCUGAAUGGGCGCCCGAGGGCAUACCAACAAGUGGAGUGACGGCGUCCGGACACAUCUCCACGCUCUCAGCACCGUAGCAAGCUGGGCGAUGCAGUGUAUACUCCAUUCAGAGCGCACAUUAGCGUCCAAAGGACUCAAACGGAUGAUCUCUGGCGGGCGUUUUUCAUGGGCUUGUGCCGGGGUCGUCAACGGUAUCCGCUGCAGGGAGGCAAGCGCCGUGCUUUCGCCAUUUUUUCAAUGCGUUGGAAAAGAAAGUGACCGAAACGGGAGGUCGUUUGGUGCUGGCGUCUGACACUGGACGUGCUGUAGCGCGAAAAGGCUGCAGUCCUGUUCCAUCAAAACCAGCGUACAAGGAAGGCAGGAAUCGAUUCUCUGUACGAUACAUAUCGAUGCUUCCAGGACGACGUAGAUGCAUCAAAAGUACGGGUACACGCUCAAAACUAGUGGAAGAGAAGAGAAUGAAACGGAGUCUAACGCACGAGGCGGUGAACACCAAGCUGACCAGACGUGAAAUCGCGAGAUAAUCGGAGCUGAGAGGCUUUUCAUGGUGUGAAACGCCCGGCAACCGGGCGGACCAGCGCAUUCUGCACCGAGACUGGAACACAUCGAUAAACAUUCGGAAAUGUAUCGUGAUUCCGGAGCGUCUGUCGGAUUUAUGUCGAGCGAACUUUUUCUUAGCAAAUCGUUUAGAACCCAGUGGGGGUAUUGUGCUGAAACGCUAAAGACUGUCGAUGAGAAGGAUUAUUGCCCAGGACAGACAGACAGACAGACAGACAGACAGACAAAGAUUCUCGCCUGGAGCACCGCACUGGCAUGAGAUGAACAGACAUCCAGCGAGGCGGGAGCGCCCUCUGUACACACCGGGAUCGGUUAUCCGUUGCAGCUGGCGAACAGCGAGGAUGCUCCGUGAUGCGGCAGUACAGCGUGUAACUGAGGCAUGUUGCUCAUUCCUGUGCGAAAACGCUUGCUCUUCGGUGUGUAGAACAACCAGUGGUACUCGAUUGCUUUUACAUCCAGAACGUCCACACUGUUCUUCUCGCUCUUCGACGUGUAAACGCAAUGGGGACACUAUAAGAAAGUCAGUGUCCACAAUGACUUUCCGCUCGGAAAGCGCAUGAUUUUCUUCGCGUUUCCUUUCGUAAAGAGCACCACACGACCGCUG
RNA transcript from Cyanidioschyzon merolae strain 10D, 2055 nucleotides. RefSeq lists it as hypothetical. The record is from RefSeq and is a predicted model, not a curated record. The transcript has a single exon. Lineage: Eukaryota; Rhodophyta; Bangiophyceae; Cyanidiales; Cyanidiaceae.